CAUGGCCGUGAAUAUUUACAAAAACGGCCGUUUUAAAUCGUGAAAAACGGACUUUUCGUGCUCAAAACUGUCAAAAACGGCCAUAUCGGAACAGAAAUAUAAGUUUCAUAACCUCGUUUUUAAUUCCGAAUUCGCGAAAAAUUGUCGACUCGCGUAACUGAUGUUUGCUUGUUUUAAUCGAUUUUAAAGUGUUGUGUAACCGGUGAAUAGUAAAAAGCUCUGCCUAGCAACGUCGGUAUCAAAAAAAUGGCGACGCAGAACGCUCGUUACUACACAAAGAAAAUUAACAGCAAAAUAAUCCCGAUUUAUUGAAAUUUGGGAUAACAGUGAAGAAACAAAAGCUUUCUACAGAAGGAUCAAAUGACAACCUUCCAGGGCGAUAUUCAUGCACUGGCGAGGGUCAGGCUCACAGAACAUGAAAAAUUAUCAUAAAAAAGGAAUUAUCCUCUUCAGAUAUUGAGAGAAUUAUUGACAUUUUCAAGAGUAAAAAGAACAGAGUUCUAAAGCUGUAAAGUCCAGAACAUGUCUGAGUUUUGUGCCCUUGAAAUGUUCUAUGUUUAUAAAUGUUGUUCCUGUGGUAAAGAAGUGUUGGGACCAGGUAUUUUAGUUGCAUUUGGUUCAUGAGUGUUUUGCAAAUCAGAUAUAUGUGUACGUGUUGUUUUUGUAUCAAAUACAGUAUUCAUAGAAGGAAAAUAUGCCUUUAUUGCAUUAUUUAAGGAAAUUUUGAUUAACAUGCCUUAACUAUACUUAUGCAUUGAACUUUGAAUUUCACAAUUUUAAGAAGUUUGCGACUCAAUUUUUCACAAUUUUGAAAAGUUCGCGACUCAAUUUUUCACAAUUUUGACAAGUUCGUGACUCAUUUUUUCACAAAGUGAGGGGCCAGGGCCGCUUCACAAAGUCAGGAAAAAAAGCCCUGGAAAGUUACAAUUUAAUCUAACAGGCUUCAAGAAAAAUCUACAAUGGAGUGAAAUAAGGUUUAAAUUUUUUACAAAGUUUUUAUUCUUUGCUUAUUGCUGGAUAAAUUGUCCCAAAAUACUGAAAAUUGCUAGUCUGCUGUAUCUCAGCAGUGACAUUUUAAAUGAUAUCCAAAGAUAGAGAGAGAUCCAAUUACCAAAGUUUACCCAAACACCAGCGUCAUGUGUGAUAAAUUUACUCCUAUUUCAGCACAUUUACUUUACUUGGCUCUUGUUUUAUGAAUGUUAUAAUGAAAUCUUCUGAACACAAGUGACAAACUGCACAAAUCAAUUGAGUUACUUUGGGUCUUAGGUAAUGGUAAGCUCACUAUUUUCCUUUGACCCUCAUGUUAUUUGCAUUAACAGGCAAGUUAAUAAAGAUUAAUGAUUAUAAUUUUCCAGAUGGUUCAACUGAUGGAACAUAAUCCAACCACAAUAAAAAGAUUUUGAUUGUGCAAGUUUUGCAGUGCUGCCUUUUACCUGAUGAUGAAACUAGUUCCGGCCAUUAUCCGAGGGAGAAACAAGAAUGGUCAAGAGGUCAGGGUCUGGCGGGGGAACAAGCAUGACAUAAAGCCUGUGCUUGAUGCCGUCAGCAUUUCUGCCUGCAAAGGUUAUGUCAUGCAAAGACCUCAGCAAAACAGUGCCACAUGACACCUCCCCCAACAAGGCAGUGAUACUCCAAAUGGACUACCCCAGGAAAAAAUUGAAAUCAACUUAUUAAAAAAACAAUUUAACCAACUGAUUAAUUAAUUGCUUUGCUGCACAUUGGAGUGGCAUACAUUGUUAUAGUAUAUCCUGUUUAAAUUGAGACUAAAAAUAGGGGGUGUUAGAUUGUUUAAUAUUUACCCUAUCAUAAGGUGAUCAGAUCAACAAUAAAACAUUACCGGUACUGUCAGUAUAUUUCAUUGUGUACAUUUUAUUGUUUAUAUUUUAUAAUCUCAUUUAAAAAAAUGUUUUUUAUUGAUGGUUGCUUAUUUUGCUUAUUCUUCCUGCAUAAAGUUUUUUACAGAAAAUGUUCUGUACAGAAUGUAAGGUUGAACAGAUUUUAUUCUGCACAGAAUUCUAUUCUCACAUUUUGGUUCUCCCCAGAUUUAAUUCUGCCCAGCUUUUUUCUGCCUCGAACAAAUUUUGCUUAAUUUAAAUAAUUCGUAAAAUCUGUACAGAAUUCAUUCUUUGUUUAUAUGGAAAAAAUCUAUAAAUAGAAAUCUGGUUCAACUCAUUUCAAAUGGACACCAAAUAUUUUCUGCACAUAUUCUUUACAGAUUUUGUGUAUUUUAUUCUGCACAUAAUCUAGUUGCAGUCUGCCCAAACUUUUUCGUACAGGUUGGUAUUUUCUAAGUAGAAUGUAAACAAGGUUUACACCAUAAAGCCAUUUACGAAAAACUACCCUAUCCCAUGGCAGCCAUGUUUUUCAACAGACCAUAACCAUAAAGGAACUCAGCCUAGAUAGAUAUUAUAAAAACAAAUGUUGUGUCUAAGUUUAAUGAAGAUUUGACUACAAAUAUGACUUCUUGAGUGUAAACAAGGUUUUACUUUAGCCAUAAAAGGAAAACUGCCGCGCUCCCUGGGGAUCAUGCUUUUCAACAGACCAGACCCAUUUUCGAACUCCGCUGAGAUAUUAUUGGGAAAAAUAAUCUGACAACUUUUCAUGAAGAUUGGACUUUAAAUGUUACUUCUAGAGUGUAAACAAGGUUUCACUAUAGCAUUAUAAGGAAAACUGCUCCGCCCCCCUGGCAGACAUGUUUUUCAACGGACCGGAACCAUUUUAGAACUCAGCUGAGAAAUCAUUUGGACAAAUAUUCUGACCAAGUUUCAUGAAGAUUGGACAAUAAAUGUUACUUCUAGAGUGUUUACAAGGUUUCACUAAAACCAUAUAAGGAAUACUGCCCUCCCCCUGGCAGACAUAUUUUUCAAUGGACCGGAACCAUUUUAAAACUCAGCCGAGUAUAUCAUUGGGGCAAAUAUUCUGACCAAGUUUCAUGAAGAUUAGACAAUAAAUGUUACACCUAGAGUGUUAACAAGGUUUUAACAUAGCCCUAUAAGGAAAACUGCCCCGCCCCCUGGCGGCAAUGUUUUUUAAAGGACUGGAACGAUUUUCGAACUCAGCCGAGCUAUCAUAAGAACAAAUGUUCUAACCAAUUUACAUGAAGAUUGGACCAUAAAUGUGACUUCUAGAGUGUUAACAAGGUUUUACUAUAGCCAAAUAAGGAAAACUGCCCCUCCACCUGGCGGCCCUGUUUCUCAACUGACCGGAACCAUUUUUGAACUCAGCUGAGAUAUAAUUGGGACAAAUGUUCUGACACAGUUUCAUGAAGAUUGGACAAUAAAUGUGACCUAUAGAGUGUUAACAAGCUUUUCCUUUAAUUUGACCUAGUGACCUAGUUUUUGACAUGACCCAGAUUCGAACUUGACCAAGAUAUCUUUGGGACAAAUUCUCUGACCAAGUUUCAUGAAGAUCAGACAAUAAAUAAGGCCUCUAGAGUGUUAACAAGGAAGUCUUGACUACGCACGACGGACAAAAGGUGAUCCCAAAAGCUCACCAUGAGCACAACACCAUGAGCGCGUUGUGCUCAGGUGAGCUAAAAACUUAAGGCUGAAAUAAAAUGGAUUGAUUUAUUUUAAACUGUUCCUACAAUGUUCUCUAUAUUAAUCCUAAACUGAUCAAUUUCUUUAUUUUUUUUAAUAAAGUGAAAAUGUUAGGUAAAACUGUAAUAAAGGAAACUAAUAUAUUGAGUUUUUCUUCACUAAUUACCGAUAAAUAAUGUAAGCAAAACAAUAAACAUUUUGAUUUUACAACUAUGAAGAUUGUUCUCUUGCUCUGGAUUCAUUUAAUGACUCAAAUUUUAAAUAUUCAUCUGCAAUAGUGGCGCAAAGGCAUUCUCUUCAAGGGAGACCAUGUUUCCAUUGUGGAUUAAGAGCGUUUACUGGUAUGCAUGUGACACAAUGCCGGCCAUGUGUUCAUAAGAUUAUCAUGAUAAGAUGCGUCAUUUUUGUCAUUUGACUGAAAUAUUGGUUUCUGAAUCGACGGGAACUCGCGAUGACACGAAUCUUUAGAUCCAAAUUCACCCCUGGCAUCGACUGUGCAUGCGUAGAGGUAUUAAAGGGAUUGAUCUCUAUGUUUGUGCAGUCUUUUAAGAGGAAUUUGGAUGUAAUAAAAUCUCUUCAUGAUCAUCUACAAUUUAAGUUCAUUCCACUGUGAAAGUUUGAACAAGAUCCAACCUGUGCAUAUUGUUGAUGACAAAGGAAUUUUGGCUAUGAAAUUAUUUGGCAGAAUUAUGACGUGUUGUCUGUUUUCCAAGAAUAUAUAGUCCCAAAAUAAAAAUUUUAAAAAAUAUAAGUGUAUUUUAAUAAUCAUUUUGAGAAAUUGUUUUUGUCUGGAAUGAAUUUGUAUUACAUACAUGUAUUGUUCUCUGUUUGCUCACAGUGUUUUUUUCGCUUACGCUAGACUAGAGUUUAAUUAAAAGCAGUAAACAUG
Long non-coding RNA from Dreissena polymorpha, 4428 nucleotides. RefSeq lists it as uncharacterized. NCBI's taxonomy places the organism in Eukaryota, Metazoa, Mollusca, Bivalvia, Myida, Dreissenidae. The transcript has 4 exons. The record is from RefSeq and is a predicted model, not a curated record.